This 253-nucleotide ribosomal RNA is filed under the name uncultured bacterium. Its description in RNAcentral is "partial 16S ribosomal RNA". It matches the Rfam family "Bacterial small subunit ribosomal RNA", at positions 524 to 776 of the family's 1533-position model. The record is from RNAcentral.
UACGAGGGGGGCAAGCGUUGUUCGGAAUUAUUGGGCGUAAAGGGUGCGUAGGCGGUUUGGUAAGUCUGAUGUGAAAUCUAUGGGCUCAACUCAUAGUCUGCAUCGGAAACUGCCGGGCUUGAGUGUGGGAGAGGUGAGUGGAAUUCCUGGUGUAGCGGUGAAAUGCGUAGAUAUCAGGAGGAACACCUGUGGCGAAAGCGGCUCACUGGACCAUAACUGACGCUGAGGCGCGAAAGCUAGGGGAGCAAACAGG